UUCAGAGCAAGGUUGAAGGAAAAAACAAAGAGAAAGAUAGGUUCUUUUACUAUUACUCUUUUCCCAGGCUUCUUAAGCAUGAUUAUGUUUUACAAAUGUCUGUAUUUAGCCAGUUCUUGUUUUUCUUCUAAUGCAGCUACAAGGCCACCGGCUAGGUCACAAGUUAUAUUACGCUAUAGAUUACGUGACCUGUCACUGUAUGAUUAACUGCUAUUCUUUUGCUUCUGGAAUGCUGCUUCUAAAAACCCCACUCUGUCUUUGUUCAAUGCUCAGCUUUUGGAUGUGAAUCCUCUGAGCCGGUGCAUAACUAAAAUAAACAAGCCCUUCGGUACUCCGUAUUGGUUUCUUCAUUCCUCAAUUUACCACAACAUUUUUGGUGACCACGAAGGGACCAGAGAGGGCAGGCUUACUGUCUCCUUUGCCUCUGGGGACUGGAGCGUGAGCCUCGGGAAACCUGUGGCCCCAGGUGCCACUGGGAGAACUUCAGCCCGGAGGGGAGAUCAGCUGUCUUUUCACCCAGUGCCCCCUACCCAGCAGUGCAAUAGAACCUAAAGAGGAGCUACAGGACAAUUUCAGAAACAGCGUGCUUCAGGAAGCACGUUUCAGGUGCUGUGUCUUGGAUCCACCACAGUCGGCUAAAACCGGCAGCUCAGGACAAGUGAACCAGCCAGCAGGACCCAGAUCAUCCAACCUGGCUGAUCCUGAGGCGAGACCAAGCUGCUGCUGAGGACAACAGCCCUGCUCUGGUCACUCCAGAGGCUGACCAGUCUAUGCAUGGCUGAAGCUUGAGGAAACAACAAGCCCUGCUCUAGUCACACACCAGAAGCUGACUAGUCUAUGCACGGCCAAAGCUUGAGGACUCAUCAAGCAAGUAAAUGCAGUUAGAAAUCUUAGGACUAGUAGUUUUACUGUAUACUAACUGUUUGACUGUUGUUCUGUCCCUGUGCUCAACCUUUUUCCCAGGUGAGGACCUCUUUUGCCCUUGCUGGAUAUGAAUAUGCUGUACAUUGUUUUGUUGUUGUUACUCCUCUUAACCAUUCUAGAAUAAACACCUAUAGAAGGGUGUCUCCACUGUACACAUACUACUUGAUUAGGGAACAGUAUAACUAGAACCCUAUUGUACUAUACUUAUGAGUGUACAGGGACUCGAUUAGGAACUUGUACUUAUAAUCAGACCACCUAUUCAAUUUGUGACCCAAGAAAUGGUCAGCCUUAUAUAUGCUGUGACCCUGAGUCUUUACCUGGGACUCGGUUGGAGAUUCAUACUGAGUCAAAGGAAAGAAGUUUUAUAGGUCAAACCCAAGCCUCUCUUCCUGGAGCUAUAUGCAUAUACUUUGAUAUUUGUCAGUUAACAUCUAUGAACCCAAACUAUCUCACAAUCUCUGGUCCUACAGAGUACUAUACAAACUGCCAGUACAAAAUUGUGUGUGCACCCUCUGUUUGUCCUUCCAAGGCCCUAGCAAUAGCUUGCUGGAACUGUACAAUGCAGUUCACUGACUGAUCAUCACCGAGGUCAAAGCCAAUCUUGCUCAUCAAAGUACCAGCAAAACUGGAUUGUAAGACAAGCACUUGCAAUCCUGUAAGUCUUACUAUCUUAAAGCCAGAUCUACCUAUAUGGACUACAGGUUACUCCAUUGCAUUACAAAGCUAUGGUCAAAAAACUAAAAUAACUUUGUAUAUUCUAAAGAGGACUCAAACCAAGCAGUCAGCCCAGCAGCAAUUCUGAGUCUUUAAGUCAUUCUUUGAGCAUAUAAACCAGAAGUUACCAGAGCCUCCUCCUUUAGGCAAAAACCUAUUUGCUCAGCUGGCUGAAAACACUGCCAGCAGCCUAGGCGUUUCCUCAUGUUAUGUUUGUGAAGGGACUAACAUGGGAGACCAAUGGCCUUGGGAAGUAAAAGAGUUAAUGCCUCAAGAUAACUUUACUCUGACUGACUCUUUUCCCAAACAGAUGCCCACAGGUUCAAGCGUCUGGCUCUUAAAAACUUCUAUUAUUGGGAGAUACUGUGUUGCUUGCUGGGGAAAGGAUUUUACAGACCCAGUAGAAGAACAAACCUGCUUAGGACAGCAAUAUUAUAAUGAACCAUUAAGGAAAACUUUGUGGUGGGACAGAGAUGACUACAAAGCACAUCAUCCAAAUUCGUUCUCCCAUUUCUCUUCUCUAAAUUACACUUGGUAUCAACUUGCAGCUCCAAAUACUUGGCAAGCACCCCCGGUCUUUACUGGAUCUGUGGGCCUCAAGCAUAUUGACAGUUGCCAGCUAAAUGGACAGGGGGCUGUGUGCUUGGAACAAUUAGACCAUCUUUCUUCCUGCUCCCACUGCAACAGGGGAAAACUUUAGGGUAUCCUGUCUAUGAUGAAGUUAGAAGAAGAAACAAAAGAGAUGCAGCCAUAAAAAAUAUAUAAAAAAUAGGAGAUUGGGAAGACAUAGGGAAGUCCCCUGAAAGAAUAAUUCAACACUAUGGGCCAGCUACCUGGGCACAAGAUGGGUCACGGGGAUACUGCACUCCUAUUUACAUGCUUAACCACAUCAUAAGGUUGCAGGCAGUACUUGAAAUCAUCAUGAAUGAAAGAGCAAAUGCAUUAGAUUUACUGGCCCAGCAAACCACAAAAAUGAGAAAUGCUAACUAUCAGAACAGAUUAGCUUUAGAUUACCUCCUAGCCCAGGAAGGAGGAGUAUGAGGAAAGUUCAAUCUAACUAAUUGUUGCCUGGAAAUUGAUGACAAUGGAAAAGCAAUUAUGGAAAUAACUGCAAGAAUGAGAAAAUUAGCCCAUAUUCCAGUUCAAACUUGGAAAGGGUGGUCCCCAGAUUCUCUCUUUGGAGGCUGGUUUUCAUUUUUCACAGGGUUCAAGAUUUUAAUAAGGGUGGUUCUGGCCAUACUAGGAACUGCCUAAUACUCCCUUGUGUCUUACAUCUGCUUGUUAGAAGCAUUCAAUCAACUAUAGAGGAAAUAGUAGCUAGGCAAACUACCACACAGCUCAUGACUCUGUGUAAAUAUCAAGCUUUGUCUAAAGAAGAAAACUUGUCUCUUCAGGCAGAACUAAGUAAUAGUGAUGACUUCUAUUAAACUUCUUUCAUAAAAGGCAUCAGAAAGGGGAAACUGAGGCAAGCAUUUAAAAAUAAUAAGUAUUACAAUUAUUCACUCCAAGAAAAGUAAAAGCUAAGGCCCAGAAUGUGGCAAGACAAGGAUUAAAAAGAAAAGAACACGUUUUCCUCUGCCUAGCAGCUCACUUCAAGAACAGUUAGAAGAUAACGCUGUCUGUACAGCCAAGGCCAAAGGAAUGGACUCCAGGCACCCCCCUCCCUUCCAGAGCAAGGUUGAAGGAAGGAAAAAAAAAAAAAGAGAAAGACAAGUUAUUUUACUGUUACUCUUUUCCCAGGCUUCUUAAGCAGGAUUAUGUUUUACAAAUGUCUGUAUUUCGCCAGUUCUUGUUUUCCUUCUAAUGCAGCUACAAGGCCACUGGCUAGGUCACAAGUAAUGUUAUACUAUAGAUUACAUGACCUGUCAUUGUAUGAUUAACUGCUUUUGUUUUGCUUCUGAAAGGCCGCUUAUAAAAACCCCACUCUGUGUUCAAUGCUCAGCUUUUGGAUGUGAAUCCUCUGAGCCGGUGCACAACUAAAAUAAAAAAUCCUCCUGUA
Molecule: long non-coding RNA, 3637 nt
Organism: Homo sapiens (human)
Lineage: Eukaryota; Metazoa; Chordata; Mammalia; Primates; Hominidae
Exons: 2
Source: RefSeq, a predicted model, not a curated record